GACGUAGGGGGCGAGCGUUGUCCGGAAUUACUGGGCGUAAAGAGCACGUAGGCGGGUAAUUAAGUUAGGUGUGAAAGACCGGGGCUCAACCCCGGGGUUGCACUUAAAACUGGAUAUCUUGAGGGCAGGAGAGGGCAGUGGAAUUCCUGGUGUAGCGGUGAAAUGCGUAGAAAUCAGGAGGAACACCAGUGGCGAAGGCGGCUGCCUGGACUGACCCUGACGCUGAGGUGCGAAAGCGUGGGUAGCAAACAGGAUUAGAUACC
This 263-nucleotide ribosomal RNA is filed under the name uncultured bacterium. RNAcentral's name for it is "partial 16S ribosomal RNA". It matches the Rfam family "Bacterial small subunit ribosomal RNA", at positions 524 to 786 of the family's 1533-position model. The record is from RNAcentral.